UCGAACGAUGGAUCCCAGCUUGGUGGGGGAUUAGUGGCGAACGGGUGAGUAACACGUGAGUAACCUGCCCUUGACUCUGGGAUAAGCCUGGGAAACCGGGUCUAAUACUGGAUAUGACCUUCUGGCGCAUGCCAUGUUGGUGGAAAGCUUUAUUGCGGUUUUGGAUGGACUCGCGGCCUAUCAGCUUGUUGGUGGGGUAAUGGCCUACCAAGGCGACGACGGGUAGCCGGCCUGAGAGGGUGGACGGCCACACUGGGACUGAGACACGGCCCAGACUCCUACGGGAGGCAGCAGUGGGGAAUAUUGCACAAUGGGCGCAAGCCUGAUGCAGCGACGCCGCGUGGGGGAUGAAGGCCUUCGGGUUGUAAACCUCUUUCAGUAGGGAAGAAGCGAAAGUGACGGUACCUGCAGAAGAAGCGCCGGCUAACUACGUGCCAGCAGCCGCGGUAAUACGUAGGGCGCAAGCGUUAUCCGGAAUUAUUGGGCGUAAAGAGCUCGUAGGCGGUUUGUCGCGUCUGCCGUGAAAGUCCGGGGCUUAACUCCGGAUCUGCGGUGGGUACGGGCAGACUAGAGUGAUGUAGGGGAGACUGGAAUUCCUGGUGUAGCGGUGAAAUGCGCAGAUAUCAGGAGGAACACCGAUGGCGAAGGCAGGUCUCUGGGCAUUAACUGACGCUGAGGAGCGAAAGCAUGGGGAGCGAACAGGAUUAGAUACCCUGGUAGUCCAUGCCGUAAACGUUGGGCACUAGGUGUGGGGGACAUUCCACGUUUUCCGCGCCGUAGCUAACGCAUUAAGUGCCCCGCCUGGGGAGUACGGCCGCAAGGCUAAAACUCAAAGGAAUUGACGGGGGCCCGCACAAGCGGCGGAGCAUGCGGAUUAAUUCGAUGCAACGCGAAGAACCUUACCAAGGCUUGACAUGAACUGGAACAGCGCAGAGAUGUGUUGGCCGCUUGCGGCCGGUUUACAGGUGGUGCAUGGUUGUCGUCAGCUCGUGUCGUGAGAUGUUGGGUUAAGUCCCGCAACGAGCGCAACCCUCGUUCUAUGCUGCCAGCGCGUUAUGGCGGGGACUCAUAGGAGACUGC
Molecule: ribosomal RNA, 1080 nt
Filed under: Arthrobacter sp. G13
Lineage: Bacteria; Bacillati; Actinomycetota; Actinomycetes; Micrococcales; Micrococcaceae
Description: bacterial SSU rRNA
Rfam family: Bacterial small subunit ribosomal RNA
Source: RNAcentral